RNAcentral lists this transfer RNA (72 nucleotides) under Bos taurus (domestic cattle). It matches the Rfam family "tRNA". From Rfam's summary of the family: Transfer RNA (tRNA) molecules are approximately 80 nucleotides in length. Their secondary structure includes four short double-helical elements and three loops (D, anti-codon, and T loops). The record is from Rfam by way of RNAcentral. Lineage: Eukaryota; Metazoa; Chordata; Mammalia; Artiodactyla; Bovidae. RNAcentral also lists the same sequence under 5 other names.
UCCCUAGUAGCUCAGUUGGUAAAGAAUCUGCCUGCAGUGCAGGAGACCUGGGUUCAAUCCCUGGAUUGGGAA